GAUGAACGCUAGCGGCAGGCCUAACACAUGCAAGUCGAGGGGUAACAGGGAGAAGCUUGCUUUUCCGCUGACGACCGGCGCACGGGUGCGUAACGCGUAUACAAUCUGCCUUAUACUGGGGUAUAGCCUUUAGAAAUGAAGAUUAAUCCCCCAUAGUCUCUUAGAGUGGCAUCAUUUUAGGAGUAAAGGUUACGGUAUAAGAUGAGUAUGCGUUCUAUUAGUUUGUUGGUGAGGUAACGGCUCACCAAGGCUACGAUAGAUAGGGGCCCUGAGAGGGGGAUCCCCCACACUGGUACUGAGACACGGACCAGACUCCUACGGGAGGCAGCAGUGAGGAAUAUUGGACAAUGGAGGCAACUCUGAUCCAGCCAUGCCGCGUGCAGGAAGACUGCCCUAUGGG
This 400-nucleotide ribosomal RNA is filed under the name uncultured Bacteroidota bacterium. Its description in RNAcentral is "bacterial SSU rRNA". It matches the Rfam family "Bacterial small subunit ribosomal RNA", at positions 28 to 422 of the family's 1533-position model. Lineage: Bacteria; Pseudomonadati; Bacteroidota. The record is from RNAcentral.